RNAcentral lists this long non-coding RNA (227 nucleotides) under Prunus persica (peach). RNAcentral's name for it is "long non-coding RNA (PPER_LNC000575)". Lineage: Eukaryota; Viridiplantae; Streptophyta; Magnoliopsida; Rosales; Rosaceae. The record is from RNAcentral.
AAAAGUGAAGUGUCAUAUAUGUGUAGGCACUUGACCUCCUAGUAAGAGGCUUUUCGGGUAAGAUAGGAUAUGCUUGAGCCUGAGAACAAAACAGUUCUCACAACCACUUAGGGAAGGAAAGGUGAAGCGCCAUAUAUGUGUGGGCACUGAACUUCCUAGCAAGAGGUCUUUUGGUCUAGUGAGCCCUGAAUGAUGCAAGAAGGGGCAAGAUCAAUGAGCAAUCCCAC